GAUGAACGCUGGCGGCGUGCCUAAUACAUGCAAGUCGAGCGAACAGACGAGAGUGCUUGCACUCUCUGACGUUAGCGGCGGACGGGUGAGUAACACGUGGGUAACCUACCUAUAAGACUGGGAUAACUUCGGGAAACCGGAGCUAAUACCGGAUAAUAUUUAGCUUCGCAUGAAGCAAUAGUGAAAGACGGUUCAGCUGUCACUUAUAGAUGGACCCGCGGUGUAUUAGCUAGUUGGUGAGGUAACGGCUCACCAAGGCAACGAUACAUAGCCGACCUGAGAGGGUGAUCGGCCACACUGGGACUGAGACACGGCCCAGACUCCUACGGGAGGCAGCAGUAGGGAAUCUUCCGCAAUGGACGAAAGUCUGACGGAGCAAUGCCGCGUGAGUGAAGAAGGUUUUCGGAUCGUAAAACUCUGUUGUAAGGGAAGAACAAGUACGUUAGUAACUGAACGUACCUUGACGGUACCUUACCAGAAAGCCACGGCUAACUACGUG
This 499-nucleotide ribosomal RNA is filed under the name uncultured bacterium. RNAcentral's name for it is "partial 16S ribosomal RNA". It matches the Rfam family "Bacterial small subunit ribosomal RNA", at positions 28 to 507 of the family's 1533-position model. The record is from RNAcentral.